CGCUGGGGCAGGCUUACACAUGCAAGUCGAGCGGAACCAUCCUAGCUUGCUAAGAGGCGUCGAGCGGCGGACGGGUGAGUAAUGCAUGGGAAUCUGCCCGAUAGUGGGGGACAAUGGGGAAACUCAGGCUAAUACCGCAUACGUCCUACGGGAAAAAGCAGGGGAUCUUCGGACCUUGCGCUAUCGGAUGAGCCCAUGUCGGAUUAGCUUGUUGGUGAGGUAAUGGCUCACCAAGGCCGCGAUCCGUAGCUGGUCUGAGAGGAUGAUCAGCCACAUCGGGACUGAGACACGGCCCGAACUCCUACGGGAGGCAGCAGUGGGGAAUAUUGGACAAUGGGGGAAACCCUGAUCCAGCCAUGCCGCGUGUGUGAAGAAGGCCCUCGGGUUGUAAAGCACUUUCAGCGAGGAAGAACGCCUAGCGGUUAAUACCCGCUAGGAAAGACAUCACUCGCAGAAGAAGCACCGGCUAACUCCGUGCCAGCAGCCGCGGUAAUACGGAGGGUGCAAGCGUUAAUCGGAAUUACUGGGCGUAAAGCGCGCGUAGGUGGCUUGAUAAGCCGGUUGUGAAAGCCCCGGGCUCAACCUGGGAACGGCAUCCGGAACUGUCAAGCUAGAGUGCAGGAGAGGAAGGUAGAAUUCCCGGUGUAGCGGUGAAAUGCGUAGAGAUCGGGAGGAAUACCAGUGGCGAAGGCGGCCCUUCGUGGACUGACACAUGACACAGUAGGUGCGAAAGCGUGGGUAGCAAACAGGAUUAGAUACCUGGUUGUCCACGCCGUAAACGAUGUCGACCAGCCGUUGGGGCCUAGCCGCCCUUUGUGGCCGAAGUUAA
Molecule: ribosomal RNA, 829 nt
Filed under: uncultured bacterium
Lineage: Bacteria
Description: bacterial SSU rRNA
Rfam family: Bacterial small subunit ribosomal RNA
Source: RNAcentral